This is a long non-coding RNA of Melitaea cinxia (Glanville fritillary), 466 nucleotides long. RefSeq lists it as uncharacterized. The transcript has 2 exons. The record is from RefSeq and is a predicted model, not a curated record. Lineage: Eukaryota; Metazoa; Arthropoda; Insecta; Lepidoptera; Nymphalidae.
AUCCAUUGUACGAGUUUUAACUUAAUGUAAUAAAUACACUUAUUUGGUAUAUAAGAUUGCAUUAUUCUUAAGGCUAAAAUGAACAAAUCAGUUAUAAUAAAAGUUCUAUGCUUAUUUGUUUUGUUUAUAUUCAGCGAAGCGACACCGAUAAAGAACAUGUUAACGGGUGAUAUCAGGGACCUGGAUAUAUAUGAUGACAUCUCUGAGGGUUCCGACGAAUUCGUAAAUUGCUCCGAUUGCCAUUUCUACAAAAUAGGCAAUGGUUACAAAAAUGUCAAUAAAAUUACUAUUUAUGGCUAACACGACAGUUAUAAAUAACCAAAAUGGUCCCUCUUCUUCUUCUUUAAAGAAUAUGACUCCGUCAGCUUUUAAAAUGGUUAUAAUUAACAAAAUAGUUGUGCUAAUUAUGCGUAAGCUUUGAAUAUUGUAUGAUAAAAAUUUGGUUUCAAUAAAUGGCAUUUACAGA